RNAcentral lists this transfer RNA (77 nucleotides) under Alphaproteobacteria bacterium. RNAcentral describes it as "tRNA-His". It matches the Rfam family "tRNA". From Rfam's summary of the family: Transfer RNA (tRNA) molecules are approximately 80 nucleotides in length. Their secondary structure includes four short double-helical elements and three loops (D, anti-codon, and T loops). Further hydrogen bonds mediate the characteristic L-shaped molecular structure. tRNAs have two regions of fundamental functional importance: the anti-codon, which is responsible for specific mRNA codon recognition, and the 3' end, to which the tRNAs corresponding amino acid is attached (by aminoacyl-tRNA synthetases). tRNAs cope with the degeneracy of the genetic code in two manners: having more than one tRNA (with a specific anti-codon) for a particular amino acid; and 'wobble' base-pairing, i.e. permitting non-standard base-pairing at the 3rd anti-codon position. The record is from RNAcentral. RNAcentral also lists the same sequence under 1 other name. Lineage: Bacteria; Pseudomonadati; Pseudomonadota; Alphaproteobacteria.
GCGGGCGUAGCUCAACUGGUUAGAGCGCCUGGUUGUGGUCCAGGAGGCUGUGGGUUCAAGUCCCAUCGCUCGCCCCA